RNAcentral lists this ribosomal RNA (274 nucleotides) under uncultured bacterium. RNAcentral describes it as "partial 16S ribosomal RNA". It matches the Rfam family "Bacterial small subunit ribosomal RNA", at positions 523 to 796 of the family's 1533-position model. The record is from RNAcentral.
AUACGAGUGCCCCAAGCGUUAUCCGGAUUUAUUGGGCGUAAAGCGUCUGUAGGCGGCUUAACACGUCUUUCGUUAAAUCCUGAGGCUCAACCUCGGGGCUGCGAAAGAUACGGUUAAACUAGAGGUCGGAAAAGGCAAGCGGAAUUGCUGGUGUAGGGGUUAAAUCCAUUAAUAUCAGCAAGAACACCAAAAGCGAAGGCAGCUUACUUGGACGAACCUGACGCUCAGAGACGAAAGCGUGGGUAGCGAAUGGGAUUAGAUACCCUAGUAGUCC